This 424-nucleotide ribosomal RNA is filed under the name uncultured Flavobacterium sp. Its description in RNAcentral is "bacterial SSU rRNA". It matches the Rfam family "Bacterial small subunit ribosomal RNA", at positions 355 to 776 of the family's 1533-position model. The record is from RNAcentral. Lineage: Bacteria; Pseudomonadati; Bacteroidota; Flavobacteriia; Flavobacteriales; Flavobacteriaceae.
UGAGGAAUAUUGGGCAAUGGAGGCAACUCUGACCCAGCCAUGCCGCGUGCAGGAAGACGGUCCUAUGGAUUGUAAACUGCUUUUGUACGGGAAGAAACAUCUCUUCGUGAAGAGACUUGACGGUACCGUAAGAAUAAGGAUCGGCUAACUCCGUGCCAGCAGCCGCGGUAAUACGGAGGAUCCAAGCGUUAUCCGGAAUCAUUGGGUUUAAAGGGUCCGUAGGCGGCCUUAUAAGUCAGUGGUGAAAUCCAGUCGCUUAACGAUUGAACUGCCAUUGAUACUGUAAGGCUUGAAUUAGAGUGAAGUAACUAGAAUAUGUAGUGUAGCGGUGAAAUGCUUAGAUAUUACAUGGAAUACCAAUUGCGAAGGCAGGUUACUAAUUCUACAUUGACGCUGAUGGACGAAAGCGUGGGGAGCGAACAGG